Hydra vulgaris (swiftwater hydra) is the source of this 563-nucleotide RNA transcript. RefSeq lists it as uncharacterized. The record is from RefSeq and is a predicted model, not a curated record. NCBI's taxonomy places the organism in Eukaryota, Metazoa, Cnidaria, Hydrozoa, Anthoathecata, Hydridae.
AAAAAAGUUUCAUUCCAAUUUGCUGAAAUUAACAACAUUUUAGUAGAUAUAACUGCACAGUUCUCUAAUGAUCCAGAUGAAGGUUUUACACAACAUAAAAUUUCAGAUGAACUUAAUGUUUUGAAAAGAAAAAUUGCAAAUAUAGAUAUCCAAUACAUCGCUUUUGUAUUAGUCAGUUUUAUCUUUAUAGUUUAUAUGUUAUAUAUUGUUACAAUAUUUCUUUUGAAUUGUCAUAAACAUUUUCAAUGUUUCUUUCACAUUGUUUCUUUUUAGGUAAAACAGUUAUCAUUAAUAAGCGGUAAAAAAUCGAGUAGAUACAAUUAAAAAUAUUUUGCUCUUACUACCAACAGACACUAUUUUGUCCGAAUACAGCAUGAAUGGUCUAAAGAAGAAAAAAAAGUUUAAAGAUUUGACAAGUCUAUGUAAUGCUGAAACUGCUUUAAAGUCAAAUAAAAACAAAAUGGAUGCCAUCCAUCCAACUUAUUGGGAGAGUAAUUAGGAAUUCUUCUGACCGAUUAAAGAAAACAUCCACUAAUAUGAAUAUCGAUCAAUGAUCGGCUUAA